UGGGGAAUAUUGGACAAUGGGGGGAACCCUGAUCCAGCCAUGCCGCGUGUGUGAAGAAGGCCUUAUGGUUGUAAAGCACUUUAAGCGAGGAGGAGGGUACUGGUAUUAAUACUACCAGCUACUGGACGUUACUCGCAGAAUAAGCACCGGCUAACUCUGUGCCAGCGUCCGCGGUAAUACAGGGGGUGCGAGCGUUAAUCGGAUUUACUGGGCGGAAAGCGUGCGUAGGCGGCUAAUUGAGUCGGAUGUGAAAUCCCCAAGCUUAACUUGGGAAUUGCAUUCGAUACUGGUUAGCUAGAGUGUGGGAGAGGAUGGUAGAAUUCCAGGUUUAGCGGUGAAAUGCGUAGAGAUCUGGAGGAAUACCGAUGGCGAAGGCAGCCAUCUGGCCUAACACUGACGCUGAGGUACGAAAGCAUGGGGAGCAAACAGG
RNAcentral lists this ribosomal RNA (430 nucleotides) under Pseudomonadota bacterium. Its description in RNAcentral is "Proteobacteria bacterium partial 16S ribosomal RNA". It matches the Rfam family "Bacterial small subunit ribosomal RNA", at positions 355 to 776 of the family's 1533-position model. Lineage: Bacteria; Pseudomonadati; Pseudomonadota. The record is from RNAcentral.